CAGCAGUGGGGAAUAUUGCACAAUGGGGGAAACCCUGAUGCAGCCAUGCCGCGUGUGUGAAGAAGGCCUUCGGGUUGUAAAGCACUUUCAGUAGGGAGGAAGGUAGUGUAGUUAACACCUGCAUUAUUUGACGUUACCUACAGAAGAAGCACCGGCUAACUCCGUGCCAGCAGCCGCGGUAAUACGGAGGGUGCGAGCGUUAAUCGGAAUUACUGGGCGUAAAGCGCAUGCAGGCGGCCUGUUAAGUCAGAUGUGAAAGCCCCGGGGCUUAACCUCGGAAUUGCAUUUGAAACUGGCAGGCUAGAGUCUUGUAGAGGGGGUAGAAUUUCAGGUGUAGCGGUGAAAUGCGUAGAGAUCUGAAGGAAUACCAGUGGCGAAGGCGGCCCCCUGGACAAAGACUGACGCUCAGAUGCGAAAGCGUGGGAGCAAACAGGAUUAGAUACCCUGGUGG
Molecule: ribosomal RNA, 451 nt
Filed under: uncultured bacterium
Lineage: Bacteria
Description: bacterial SSU rRNA
Rfam family: Bacterial small subunit ribosomal RNA
Source: RNAcentral